AGAAUCAACGCUGGCGGCGUGCCUAACACAUGCAAGUCGCACGAGAAAGGGACUUCGAUCCUGAGUAAAGUGGCGCACGGGUGAGUAACACGUGAAUAAUCUACCUCCGAGUGGGGAAUAACUGAGAGAAAUCUUAGCUAAUACCGCAUAACACUUACGAGUCAAAGCAGCAAUGCGCUUGGAGAGGAGUUCGCGGCAGAUUAGUUAGUUGGCGGGGUAAUGGCCCACCAAGACGAUGAUCUGUA
RNAcentral lists this ribosomal RNA (245 nucleotides) under uncultured bacterium. Its description in RNAcentral is "partial small subunit ribosomal RNA". It matches the Rfam family "Bacterial small subunit ribosomal RNA", at positions 26 to 285 of the family's 1533-position model. The record is from RNAcentral.